UAGGAGGUCAGCCUGCCAGUGACUAUUAGUUUAACGGCCGCGGUAUUCUGACCGUGCAAAGGUAGCGUAAUCACUCGUCCUUUAAAUGGGGUCAAGUAUGAAAGGCUAGACGAGGGCUUAGCUGUCUCCCCUUCCAGGUCAGUGAAAUUGAUCUAUCCGUGCAGAAGCGGGUAUAAAAAUACAAGACGAGAAGACCCUUUGGAGCUUUAGGUACAGGACUUAACCACGUUAAGCAAGUUAAUAAGAACACUAACCCCAUUGGGGAUUAAGACCCUACCUUCGGUUGGGGCGACCACGGAGAAAAACAUAACCUCCGAGUGGACAGGGAAACCCCUAGAGCUAAGAGACCCAUCUCUAGGCCACAGAAUUUCUGACCAGAAAUGAUCCGGUCAUUUGACCGAUCAGCGAACCAAGUUACCCUAGGGAUAACAGCGCAAUCCUCUCCCAGAGCCCAUAUCGACGAGGGGGUUUACGACCUCGAUGUUGGAUCAGGACAUCCUAAUGGUGCAGCAGCUAUUAAGGGUUCGUUUGUUCAACGAUAAAAGUCCUA
This 550-nucleotide ribosomal RNA is filed under the name Barilius bendelisis (Hamilton's barila). RNAcentral describes it as "partial 16S ribosomal RNA". It matches the Rfam family "Bacterial large subunit ribosomal RNA", at positions 1846 to 2598 of the family's 2925-position model. Lineage: Eukaryota; Metazoa; Chordata; Actinopteri; Cypriniformes; Danionidae. The record is from RNAcentral.